Molecule: ribosomal RNA, 884 nt
Filed under: uncultured bacterium
Lineage: Bacteria
Description: bacterial SSU rRNA
Rfam family: Bacterial small subunit ribosomal RNA
Source: RNAcentral
AGAGUUUGAUCCUGGCUCAGGACGAACGCUGGCGGCGUGCAAUAAUACAUGCAAGUCGAACGAACUCUGGUAUUGAUUGGUGCUUGCAUCAUGAUUUACAUUUGAGUGAGUGGCGAACUGGUGAGUAACACGUGGGAAACCUGCCCAGAAGCGGGGGAUAACACCUGGAAACAGAUGCUAAUACCGCAUAACAACUUGGACCGCAUGGUCCGAGCUUGAAAGAUGGCUUCGGCUAUCACUUUUGGAUGGUCCCGCGGCGUAUUAGCUAGAUGGUGGGGUAACGGCUCACCAUGGCAAUGACUACCGUAGCCGACCUGAGAGGGUAAUCGGCCACAUUGGGACUGAGACACGGCCCAAACUCCUACGGGAGGCAGCAGUAGGGAAUCUUCCACAAUGGACGAAAGUCUGAUGGAGCAACGCCGCGUGAGUGAAGAAGGGUUUCGGCUCGUAAAACUCUGUUGUUAAAGAAGAACAUAUCUGAGAGUAACUGUUCAGGUAUUGACGGUAUUUAACCAGAAAGCCACGGCUAACUACGUGCCAGCAGCCGCGGUAAUACGUAGGUGGCAAGCGUUGUCCGGAUUUAUUGGGCGUAAAGCGAGCGCAGGCGGUUUUUUAAGUCUGAUGUGAAGGCCUUCGGCUCAACCGAAGAAGUGCAUCGGAAACUGGGAAACUUGAGUGCAGAAGAGGACAGUGGAACUCCAUGUGUAGCGGUGAAAUGCGUAGAUAUAUGGAAGAACACCAGUGGCGAAGGCGGCUGUCUGGUCUGUAACUGACGCUGAGGCUCGAAAGUAUGGGUAGCAAACAGGAUUAGAUACCCUGGUAGUCCAUACCGUAAACGAUGAAUGCUAAGUGUUGGAGGGUUUCCGCCCUUCAGUGCUGCAGCU